This 779-nucleotide ribosomal RNA is filed under the name uncultured microorganism. Its description in RNAcentral is "bacterial SSU rRNA". It matches the Rfam family "Bacterial small subunit ribosomal RNA", at positions 56 to 846 of the family's 1533-position model. The record is from RNAcentral.
UGCAAGUCGAACGGUGAUGAGGAGCUUGCUUCUCUGAUCAGUGGCGAACGGGUGAGUAACACGUGAGUAACCUGCCCCCGACUCUGGGAUAAGCACUGGAAACGGUGUCUAAUACCGGAUACGAGCUUCAGCCGCAUGGCUAGGAGUUGGAAAGAAUUUCGGUUGGGGAUGGACUCGCGGCCUAUCAGCUAGUUGGUGAGGUAAUGGCUCACCAAGGCGACGACGGGUAGCCGGCCUGAGAGGGUGACCGGCCACACUGGGACUGAGACACGGCCCAGACUCCUACGGGAGGCAGCAGUGGGGAAUAUUGCACAAUGGGCGCAAGCCUGAUGCAGCAACGCCGCGUGAGGGACGACGGCCUUCGGGUUGUAAACCUCUUUUAGUAGGGAAGAAGCGAAAGUGACGGUACCUGCAGAAAAAGCACCGGCUAACUACGUGCCAGCAGCCGCGGUAAUACGUAGGGUGCAAGCGUUGUCCGGAAUUAUUGGGCGUAAAGAGCUCGUAGGCGGUUUGUCGCGUCUGCUGUGAAAACCCGAGGCUCAACCUCGGGCCUGCAGUGGGUACGGGCAGACUAGAGUGCGGUAGGGGAGAUUGGAAUUCCUGGUGUAGCGGUGGAAUGCGCAGAUAUCAGGAGGAACACCAAUGGCGAAGGCAGAUCUCUGGGCCGUAACUGACGCUGAGGAGCGAAAGCAUGGGGAGCGAACAGGAUUAGAUACCCUGGUAGUCCAUGCCGUAAACGUUGGGAACUAGAUGUGGGGACCAUUCCACGGUCUCCGAGU